Long non-coding RNA from Hippocampus zosterae (dwarf seahorse), 404 nucleotides. RefSeq lists it as uncharacterized. Lineage: Eukaryota; Metazoa; Chordata; Actinopteri; Syngnathiformes; Syngnathidae. The transcript has 2 exons. The record is from RefSeq and is a predicted model, not a curated record.
AUUUUCGAAAAGUACAUAAAAUGCCCGAUAUGUACUUUUUGAAAAUAAAAACACUUUUUUUUGUUUCUUUGCUUUAUUUGCCUUUUAUUUUACCUACAAAUGUGUCAGAUCGUUUUGCCUGACCCUGUACAAUAAGUUUUGGAGAGGAAUGUUUGUUUGAAUGUCAUCAUCCAAAGUGCGCAAAAAUCUUCGCUUCCCAAAACGUGUAUUCAAUAUUGUUAAAAGAAAAGGUGAUGGAACCGAAUAUACAACAUGACCCUGUCACAACUUUUGACGAAUGUGUUGCAACCAUAACAUUCGAGACAAAUGAAUAUUUGCUCAACGCAAUCGAGUUCAUCAGUUCAAACAUCAAAUGCUUUGUCUCUACAGUAAAGUGCAUUCAAUUAAAUAUAUGUUGAAGAUGA